GAACCGCCAUAGGAGAUGCUAAGGAGGUGUAAGGAUCACAAGCUUGCCAAGGUGGAGAAUUGUUGGAAUGUCAAGGCUUGAAAGAAUCCUAGCCGUCCAUCUGAUUAAGGGAUCUUGUGGCUGUUGUUUGUUUUUUUCUUUGUUUUUUAAUUAUGGAGGGGCAUGGAUGUAAUUUGUUCCUUUUCUUGUUGUAAAUAAAAGAAACAAAAAGCAGCAGAGGGGCGGGGAGAGGGUCUAGAGAAUUUGUGUUUGCAGCUGCAAAGACCACAGCGCAGAAGGAGGUCUUCCUCCACCAACCGCAAGAGAGCACCUGCAAAACCAAAAACAGAUUGUAGCUUGCCUUCCUAGAGAGAACAACACCGCGCGCGCACGAGAGGGAGACGGCAGGAGGUGCGUGUUUGGCGUUGGGGAUCUCCAGCAGAGGUGCACGCUCAGGUAAAGCAAGGUGCAAAGGGAGGGUUUCUUAGAUUAUUCUUGGGCUGAUUUCCAGAGGAGAUCGGUAAGACAAGAAAGGGUAAAUCUGUGUGCACUUGUAUUUAUUUCCACCGAUUUAAUAUAGUGUCUCUGGAGGUGAGUUUCUACCGUGGAUGUAGGCCAAUUUUUGGGCCGAACCACGUAAAUGUGUUCUUGUGGAUUGUGCUUAUGACAUAUUGUUUAUACUUUGCUGAAUAUUGGAUUGGUGAAUGUAUAUUUUUCUUGAUCAGACUUAGCACAGACACGUGUCAAAAUAAACAGGUUUAAGUUUA
Molecule: long non-coding RNA, 746 nt
Organism: Malania oleifera
Lineage: Eukaryota; Viridiplantae; Streptophyta; Magnoliopsida; Santalales; Ximeniaceae
Exons: 2
Source: RefSeq, a predicted model, not a curated record